Molecule: unclassified non-coding RNA, 329 nt
Filed under: soil metagenome
Description: partial contains 5.8S ribosomal RNA, internal transcribed spacer 2, and large subunit ribosomal RNA
Rfam family: 5.8S ribosomal RNA (bases 1-120)
Source: RNAcentral
GAUGAAGAACGUAGCGAAAUGCGAUAAGUAAUGUGAAUUGCAGAAUUCAGUGAAUCAUCGAAUCUUUGAACGCACAUUGCGCCCCCUGGUAUUCCGGGGGGCAUGCCUGUCCGAGCGUCAUUACAACCCUCAAGCUCAGCUUGGUGUUGGGCCCCGCCGCCCCGGCGGGCCCUAAAGUCAGUGGCGGUGCCGUCCGGCUCCGAGCGUAGUAAUUCUUCUCGCUCUGGAGGUCCGGUCGUGUGCUCGCCAGCAACCCCCAAUUUUUUUCAGGUUGACCUCGGAUCAGGUAGGGAUACCCGCUGGACUUAAGCAUAUCAAUAAGCGGAGGA